Molecule: long non-coding RNA, 896 nt
Organism: Mobula hypostoma (lesser devil ray)
Lineage: Eukaryota; Metazoa; Chordata; Chondrichthyes; Myliobatiformes; Myliobatidae
Exons: 4
Source: RefSeq, a predicted model, not a curated record
GGGAAUUAGAGCUGUCUCCUUCAACUAAUACGGCAGCAUAGCAGAAGAUGCUGCCUGACAUGCUGGUUAUUUCCAUGGUCUUUGACAAUAUUUAUUCCACAGCAGCAGGCACUGAGUUAACCUUUCAGGAGAUGUCAACUGGAGGAUUCAGUUUUAAGGCUCUGCUCUCCCAAGAUCGGAUGUGAGUCAAACCAGAGACCCUCCUUGCAAACAUGUGCCUGCUACUAUCAGGAAAACCAGUGCAUAAGAACCUUCACUCUACCUUCCCAAACCAGGAUGACCCAUGUCAAAGUCAGCAGGAAAUUUACUUCAGUCACAAGAUGGCAAACAAAUAAAACUUCAGAUACUGAAACAAUUAUAGAAGGGAUGGAGAAACUCAACCAGUGAAUACGCGCAGUGGUUUCUACCCAAAAGGCACCAGCCAUUUCCAGGAAACAGCCUCUUCUUUCAGACUAACCUCAGCAUUGGAGCUUUGUGACCAAGUAAUGAUCAAGCCGCAGAUAACAGAGAACGGAAGCCCCUUCAAUGAGCAGCAGAGAAUUCGGAGAAUAUGGGUAGUGCCGGUUUCUUGAAAGUUGCCUGAUGUUGCAGCGAUCACAAGUUGUCAGGUGCUGCUAGACUGAGGUUUCUGAGAUAAGUCUGAUUUUACUCAUCUUCCUUUCGAUCCACAGACAUUUCAAAGUCUCUUAUUUUCAGUAUUAGGUUUAAAUAUUCUUGGUUGUGCUACUCAUAGGGCAUUAGGGGUGGCAUACUGCCUCUCGGCUCCUGUUUAAUCCUGACCUCUGCUGCUGUCUUCGCAGAGUUUGCCCAAUCUCUAUUUUCCCACUAGACGCUCCAGCUUCCUCCCACGUGCCAGACAAGCAGCUUGAUAGAUUAAUUGGCCACUGUAAGUCCCA